GAAAGAUGGCUUUGGCUAUCACUCUGGGAUGGACCUGCGGUGCAUUAGCUAGUUGGUAAGGUAAUGGCUUACCAAGGCGAUGAUGCAUAGCCGAGUUGAGAGACUGAUCGGCCACAAUGGAACUGAGACACGGUCCAUACUCCUACGGGAGGCAGCAGUAGGGAAUCUUCCACAAUGGGCGCAAGCCUGAUGGAGCAACACCGCGUGAGUGAAGAAGGGUUUCGGCUCGUAAAGCUCUGUUGUUGGAGAAGAACGUGCGUGAGAGUAACUGUUCACGCAGUGACGGUAUCCAACCAGAAAGUCACGGCUAACUACGUGCCAGCAGCCGCGGUAAUACGUAGGUGGCAAGCGUUAUCCGGAUUUAUUGGGCGUAAAGCGAGCGCAGGCGGUUGCUUAGGUCUGAUGUGAAAGCCUUCGGCUUAACCGAAGAAGUGCAUCGGAAACCGGGCAACUUGAGUGCAGAAGAGGACAGUGGAACUCCAUGUGUAGCGGUGGAAUGCGUAGAUAUAUGGAAGAACACCAGUGGCGAAGGCGGCUGUCUGGUCUGCAACUGACGCUGAGGCUCGAAAGCAUGGGUAGCGAACAGGAUUAGAUACCCUGGUAGUCCAUGCCGUAAACGAUGAGUGCUAGGUGUUGGAGGGUUUCCGCCCUUCA
RNAcentral lists this ribosomal RNA (654 nucleotides) under uncultured bacterium. RNAcentral describes it as "bacterial SSU rRNA". It matches the Rfam family "Bacterial small subunit ribosomal RNA", at positions 202 to 842 of the family's 1533-position model. The record is from RNAcentral.